Molecule: ribosomal RNA, 728 nt
Filed under: Microbacterium sp.
Lineage: Bacteria; Bacillati; Actinomycetota; Actinomycetes; Micrococcales; Microbacteriaceae
Description: bacterial SSU rRNA
Rfam family: Bacterial small subunit ribosomal RNA
Source: RNAcentral
GGAUUUAGAUACCCUGGUAGUCCACCCCGUAAACGUUGGGAACUAGUUGUGGGGACCAUUCCACGGUUUCCGUGACGCAGCUAACGCAUUAAGUUCCCCGCCUGGGGAGUACGGCCGCAAGGCUAAAACUCAAAGGAAUUGACGGGGACCCGCACAAGCGGCGGAGCAUGCGGAUUAAUUCGAUGCAACGCGAAGAACCUUACCAAGGCUUGACAUAUACGAGAACGGGCCAGAAAUGGUCAACUCUUUGGACACUCGUAAACAGGUGGUGCAUGGUUGUCGUCAGCUCGUGUCGUGAGAUGUUGGGUUAAGUCCCGCAACGAGCGCAACCCUCGUUCUAUGUUGCCAGCACGUAAUGGUGGGAACUCAUGGGAUACUGCCGGGGUCAACUCGGAGGAAGGUGGGGAUGACGUCAAAUCAUCAUGCCCCUUAUGUCUUGGGCUUCACGCAUGCUACAAUGGCCGGUACAAAGGGCUGCGAUACCGUGAGGUGGAGCGAAUCCCAAAAAGCCGGUCCCAGUUCGGAUUGAGGUCUGCAACUCGACCUCAUGAAGUCGGAGUCGCUAGUAAUCGCAGAUCAGCAACGCUGCGGUGAAUACGUUCCCGGGUCUUGUACACACCGCCCGUCAAGUCAUGAAAGUCGGUAACACCUGAAGCCGGUGGCCUAACCCUUGUGGAGGGAGCCGUCGAAGGUGGGAUCGGUAAUUANGACUAANUCGUAACAAGGUA